RNAcentral lists this ribosomal RNA (253 nucleotides) under uncultured bacterium. Its description in RNAcentral is "partial 16S ribosomal RNA". It matches the Rfam family "Bacterial small subunit ribosomal RNA", at positions 524 to 776 of the family's 1533-position model. The record is from RNAcentral.
UACGUAGGGUGCGAGCGUUAAUCGGAAUUACUGGGCGUAAAGCGUGCGCAGGCGGCUUUGCAAGACAGAUGUGAAAUCCCCGGGCUCAACCUGGGAACUGCAUUUGUGACUGCAAGGCUAGAGUACGGCAGAGGGGGAUGGAAUUCCGCGUGUAGCAGUGAAAUGCGUAGAUAUGCGGAGGAACACCGAUGGCGAAGGCAAUCCCCUGGACCUGUACUGACGCUCAUGCACGAAAGCGUGGGGGGCAAACAGG